Long non-coding RNA from Peromyscus eremicus (cactus mouse), 364 nucleotides. RefSeq lists it as uncharacterized. The record is from RefSeq and is a predicted model, not a curated record. The transcript is spliced from 3 exons. NCBI's taxonomy places the organism in Eukaryota, Metazoa, Chordata, Mammalia, Rodentia, Cricetidae.
AAGAGCUUUCCUUACACUAGAUGUCAAGUUGUCCUUUGCACGAGCCUCUGCUGGGAUACAAGGGAAGCCCUUCAGCAUCCCCUUCAUCCAAAGCCAGAGAUCUCUACCUGAUUGAUUGAACAUCCUUCAGUUCUUUCCCUGUGUAGAACUGAAUCUUUAUCUCCUACUGAAAUUUUAUGUACACAAGGUCAGAAGAGGCUCCUUAAAGCUGCGAGCAAUGUAGCACCAUAAUUUCCAGGAAAUGAAACAGACCCUUUUGAGCUACAUGAAAGGUUAUCCAAAGAGAAUAAGUUCUGAAAUAGUCACAGGAAAAGCUUUAGAAUGCAGGUCUGAGGAACAGAGUGCAAAACAAGGGCAGGACAGC